ACGCAAGAUUGGUUGCCAAAAAUUGUUGAUCCAUGCCCAAGUUCUGCGACAAUGGGUGUUGAUUGUCGCAUAUACAGACAACUCCUCUAUAAUCCUCCAGGUGAGUGCUCUUUGAGCUCUUUAUGCUCUUGUACAACCACUCUGUUGCUCUCAUAACAUCUUCUUUGUUCCUUAAGUGUUGACUUAGGCAUCAAAGGCUAUCCCGUUGGAUACUUUUCGAUAAGAGGAUUUUUUUAUUUUUACUGUUUUAGCUCAGAUCUACCAUCAGAGCAAAGGUCCAAGAAAAAUCUUUGUUGCUCAACACCACCUUGGAUGCGACCGACGGCGGAGCAAUCAUCGCUUGAAUGUAGUAGGCAUCAAACCGUCAUCUCAAAGAUUGAUCAUGAUCUUUGACCGACCAUCAUGAUUUGAGCAGCUGACUUGGUGCUAGAGGAAAGGUCAUAAUCCCAC
RNAcentral lists this long non-coding RNA (450 nucleotides) under Elaeis guineensis (African oil palm). RNAcentral describes it as "long non-coding RNA (EGUI_LNC022717)". The record is from RNAcentral. Lineage: Eukaryota; Viridiplantae; Streptophyta; Magnoliopsida; Arecales; Arecaceae.